Molecule: ribosomal RNA, 412 nt
Filed under: Bacillus subtilis
Lineage: Bacteria; Bacillati; Bacillota; Bacilli; Caryophanales; Bacillaceae
Description: bacterial SSU rRNA
Rfam family: Bacterial small subunit ribosomal RNA
Source: RNAcentral
CCCCUUCGGGGGCAGAGUGACAGGUGNNGCAUGGUUGUCGUCAGCUCGUGUCGUGAGAUGUUGGGUUAAGUCCCGCAACGAGCGCAACCCUUGAUCUUAGUUGCCAGCAUUCAGUUGGGCACUCUAAGGUGACUGCCGGUGACAAACCGGAGGAAGGUGGGGAUGACGUCAAAUCAUCAUGCCCCUUAUGACCUGGGCUACACACGUGCUACAAUGGACAGAACAAAGGGCAGCGAAACCGCGAGGUUAAGCCAAUCCCACAAAUCUGUUCUCAGUUCGGAUCGCAGUCUGCAACUCGACUGCGUGAAGCUGGAAUCGCUAGUAAUCGCGGAUCAGCAUGCCGCGGUGAAUACGUUCCCGGGCCUUGUACACACCGCCCGUCACACCACGAGAGUUUGUAACACCCGAAGUC